AUUCAGUAUAUAAUGUACUUUUAGCCAUUUAAAUUUAUUUACUUUUUGUUGUUAUCUUCAAGUCUAAAAAUGAAGGAUCUUUGCAGUAUUACAGUUGGAUAACUGAUAGAGUAUCCUUCAUUCUUUCAAGCAAGAUUUUUUAUUUCAGAAUGGAACAAAAUCAGGUGAUUUUACCCCUUAAAAAUGUUAUUUUUAACAAGAUUUAUCUAUCCCUCUGGAUGUGCUACCCAAUGCAAUUGCAGCAACCAAGUAGACUGUACUAUCUUUAUCCUAACAAUUCCCAUAUUAAGGUCUUCAGCCAGUCAAAACCCUAGACUAGAAUAUUCAGUUUCCCACUCAACAUCUCUGCUAGGCUAUCUUGUAGAUAUUCUAAUUUUAAUGCCUAUAAGUGAUCUCCAGUCAUUAUUCCCAUACCUCUUCCACCCAGAAAGUUUCUCAUCUCAGUUUAUGAUAAUUGCAUCUUUCUAGUUGCUCAGGUCCCUAAUUUUGGCAUCCCUUUGACCCCUCUCUUUACUCCCCGUGUUAUAAUUCAUCAGAAAAUGUUGCUGACUUUACAGUAAAAAUACAUCCAGAAUUUAACUACCUUCCCUCACUUCCUCCAUUUUCACUCUAGGCUAGCCCACAUUCACCUGCUACUGGAUAAUUGCAAUAGCCUCUAACUUGUUUUCCUCUUUUAACCCUUUAAAAUCAAUUUUCAACACAGCAGCUAGGGUAAUCAUUUAACAGAAAGUCAGAUCAUAUUAUUUUGUUUUAUUAUUGUUUGUUAUGUAUAUGUAAGCUCUGUAAGAGCAUUGAUUACAGUUUUAUUCACUUAUGUAUCAUAAGUUUCUAGAACAGUGUCUGGCCUGUGACUGAACAAAUGAAUAUCAAUUUUUCAAAGAGAACACUGAUACUUAGAGAAAGAAAGAAACUUACUUCCUUCAUAUUUCAUAUCUCAUAGAGAUUAGAAGAAUUGAACCCAGGUCUUUGGACUCCACUCUUGUGUUCUUUUUCACUAUUUUAUGCUUCUUCCUAGACAUGUUGACGGAAUCCUCAAGGUGAAUAUCAAGAUUUUCUUGAGGAAUUGUGUUAAACUUACUUGCAGAAGUGUGUGUUUAAGUCAUGAUUCUGUCCCUCAACAGGCACAAUCUAAGUAACACAAUUUUUCACUUGCAAAAGUCAGUUGAACUAAGAUGAUGUCUAAGGUUCAUUGUGCAGCCAAAUAUUAGUAAGUCCAGUGACACUACCCAGACGUUUCCCAAUUCUUCAAUAGCAGCAUAAAUAACUGUCAUUUGGAGGCAUCAGCAGGACAAGAAAGCCUACCAAAUAUGUUGAUUGUUUCUUAGAUUCCCAUGUAUAGCCAGAUCUAGGAACAUUUUAAAGUGGGGCAAGGUUUCCCAAGGCUGACUGCUAACUGGUGACAUUGGUACAGCUGGUGCCCUCACUGAAGAUAAAUGCAAAUGUGGUUGUUUGGGUAAAACAGUGUGACAUCUAAUUACUUAUUUAUUUUAUGUCUUUGCUUUGUGGACUCAAACUCACAUCCAAAUUAGGGGUGUGAUGCCUUAGGGUUUAUAACAAGUCUUUGUGUGGUUUUUCUUGCCUCUUAGACUAGAGCUCACUGUGUAUAUAUAUUUGUGUAAAUAUUUGUGUUUAUUCUUCUGCCUCAAAUACAAUGGGUCUUUGUCUAAAAUACACGAUUCCAAUCCCAAUUGGCUCUUUAUUCCAGCCAAGCCAGUUUUAUGAUGGUUCCUCUUAAUCUCACUUUUGUUUUUCUUGAUCCUUUUUUCUUUCUGUCUUUUAUUUUUGCCUUCUUUUUUUUUUUUCCUUUUUUUUAAUCUUUCACUCAUACUAUUUUCCUCAAGAAACGUCUACCCUCUUUCUGACAAUCCUAACUCACCAUUAUUUAAAGAUGCAAUUUACCUAUAGGAAACCUUAUCUGGCAGUUGUACUCAAGUCAGAGCACUGAUUUUCUCUUUCAUUCCCAAAGUUUCUGGGGGUUCUGUUUAUUACCAUUACUAUUUUAUGGCUUGUUGUUCUUAUUUGUUUCUUUGUUGAUCGUCUCCCUGUAGUUUUAUACACUGUGUCACUCACUAGAUUGCAAACUUUAGUAUGCUGACUUCUGUAUCUCUUAAGUUUUCCUUUUCACAUAUGAAUACAGGUUUGAAUAGAGUGCAGAAAUCUCCCUAGAAGUCUGUGUUUUGGUCAUAUAUUGCUUCAUACCAAACCACCCCAAAACGUGAUGCUUAAAACAUCCAUUUUAUUUUAUUCAUGGUUUUAGAGGUGAGGAACUUCAGAAAUAGCUUGACUGGGUGUUUUGUCUUUCAUCCCGAUGGUGUCAGCUGAGGCAGUGGGACUGGAGGAAAUACUCCUAGAUGACUUUUUCAUUCACUGUCAGGUGACUUGGUGUUUCUUGGCCUGCUUCUACCUGCAUGGCAGCCCAUCAGCCAGAGCCUUUCCACUUGGCUUGGGCUUCUCACAGCGCAGACAUGGGGUAAUCACACUUCUUGCAUGUGAUCACACUUCAACCCUAUUGCUUUAUUGGUCAAAACAAUCACAGGGCCUCCAAGGCUUAAGGAAGUGAAGAAAUAGACUCCAGCUCUUGAUGUUCGAAAAGGGACAAGGUCACAUGACAGGAGAGCCUGCAGAAUGGGUAUCAUUGUUGAGGUCACCUUUGAAAAAUAUAAUCUGACUAAUCUGCAGAGAAAAUUCAACAAUUUUAUUUAAAAGUGCAUUGGAGUAAAAUGCACAAUAUAUACAUUGUAGAAUCAAACAUUAGAAUGUCUAAAAUGAAUAAACCAAUCAUUUUAGACCAACCAGCCCCAAAACAAACAUAUAGACCAACGAUUUAUUAAGAGAAUUUGCACAAUUAGAUUCUGGUCUCUGGUUCACCUGAUAACUAUAAAAUGAUGGCCUGUUGGUGUUACGGUAAACUAUUCUUUGAUUAAAUUGAAUGUGAUAAUCACUAAUUAUAUUGUAGAAGCUUUUGCUGUGUCCCAUAUAGUGAUGACACCACCCACCAUGGUAUUCUGUCUGUAAAUGGCCUAGAAUUUAGUUUGAAGUCUUCUUAAGACACUUAGGGCUUUUUCAGUUUGGCUUUUCACUUUCAAGUGGCAUAAAUCCCAGUAUUACAGUAUUCUUUUGAGUUCUGCAAAUUAAUCUAUAAAACAAGCAAGAAAAUAAAUUGCAUUAUAUUACUUUAUUAACCUAACACAUAUUAUGUUUAAAAUGUUUUGUAUGGUAUAUAUGAUGAAAAGAUAGAUUUUGGUUAAAUUGAAUAAAAUAAGGUCCUAGUUCUGUGAUCUAAGAUUACAAUCCUGUCUGUAUCUGCAUGUGUGUACAUGUGUCUAUGCAUGUAUUUUUGUGUAUUAGGAUUUGAGUGAGGUUGCUGAUGCAGGCUAUGUAGAGAACCAGACAGUCUGUCUUACAGGUUUAAGGUAGAACAUUGGUAUUGUCUCACUGUAUUAGUAGUAUUCCCACCUACUAAAUUCGAAGUUCUUUGAGAUCAGUACUCAGAUCAGUAUGAGACAGUAUUCAUCUCUCAUUUCCCCAUGGACUAUGGCAAUAAUACCUGGCACAUUUUACAUAUGCAAUAAAUAUUGAAUACUCAAACCUUUGGAGUAGAGUUUCUAUGCAAAUAGAAUUACUCCUGCUGGUAAACUAAUACUGGUUUAAGCACACUGGAAAUUUGAGGUCAAAAUAGGCUACUUCAACUUCCCAGAACCUUAAGGAAACUUGCCCCUUAUGGCUGUUUGGCUCAUUGCGUGCAUUGUGUGUCAAUCUUGCCGUGCCUGAUCUCCCACCUUGAGCAAGCCUAUUAUUUACACUCACUUACCUGUCAUCUUAGAAACUGCAGAUUAAAAAAAUCUUUUCCAGAGGUCUUGGAAUCAAACAUCCCUCACUGACACAUUACUGGAUAUGGAAUGAAUCAGAAACAUGUGGAUUAAAUUUCCCGAAAAAUUUCUUUGGUUAUAAAAAUUAAGGAAGAAAGUGUUUAGCCAGAUGCCUCAUGGGUAAUGCCAAACUCAAAUUGUUUGAAAAAUAUGUGUGCUGGUUAGGUAAACAAACAAAUAAAAAAAUAAAUUUUACUUCCCUCUUACCUUGUAAAACCUCACAUUCACUGUAAAAACCUCAAGUCAGUUUGAAGCUAGGUUUUAUAAGAGGUUUUGAAAAGUCUAUGGUUCUCCGCUUUGAUCACUGGAGACAAGAGCUAUAUGGAUAAAUACUUCUGAGAAUGCACAUAAUCAAGGCUGAUGUUUUUCAAUAGAUUUCAAAGCAUUGAAUGAGGUCCCUUCCAUGACAUUUGGGAACUACAAUUCAAGAUGAGAUUUGGAUGAGGACAUAGCCAAACCAUAUCAGGUACUGAUUCUUGGAUUCUUUAAUCCUACAUUAUUUCUAUGUUAAAGAAAAUGAUAUUAAGGAUGCUGCCUAUAUUUCAUAGGUUCCUUGAUGUUAAAGACAUUAAAACCUACCUAAUAUUAUUCUACCUCGAGAAAUAUUAAAAUAAUUAAAAUAAUAUUUAACAUAAUUUUAUAAAGAGUCAUAAGAAUAAUAAAUGGUGAUUAUUUGAGAACCAGAUAUUAGAAGUAAAAGGAUUAGUCUUAUUUUCCAGAUGAAGAAAUAAAACUAAUUGCAUGCCAAUUGCAUGUAGUUAACCAAUGUCAGAUCUAGGUCAAGUCUAGUUUAUCUCACUUUCAGCAUUGGGCUCUGGAAUGUUCUACAAGAUCAGAGCUUUAACGAGAGUCAUCUAAGGAAUGGGGGACUCUAUGAUGCAUUACCAAAAGCCUUUAGACUAAAGUUAAGUGACUUAUCCAGCUCCACACAUGCAUUUAGUAUACAAUAGGGUCAUGGAAUGUUAGAAUGGGAAGGAGCUGUGGAGAAGGUGGUUCAGCUCUCUCGUUUUUAAGAUAAGAAAUGUUUUGUGUUUUGUGAGGUUUUUAUGCUCCAGCUGCAUCCUGGCUCGAGUUUCUUCUUCAGGUUGAAGAACUAUUCUCUAACUCAGUGUUCUGUAAGUCAUUAAAGCCUAAAUUUGGUUGGCAUGAUUAUUUGAAUUAUGCCUCAUUGGCAUUAAAAUAAUAAAAAGUUCAGUCUUCAGACUACUUUCUAAGUCAGGUUUUCUAGUAGCAAUCUCAAAAUCUUGCCACUUCUGCCACUUUUCUACCCAGCCAUUGAAAACAAACUUCUGAAUUAUAAAAAUAAAGAAUUUAAAGGAAAAAAAAAGCAAUAUUUGAUUGAGUUGGCUGGGCUUUCUUUACUUUUUUUGUAUUCAAGUGGACAAUUUGUACAAUUUCCCUUCCUUUGAUCCUAGCUGCCCACACUACCAAGUUGCAGGCAUGAAUUACUUGCCCAUUUCUUCAUCCAUUGACUUUGAAGGACUGGGAAAAAAACUCACCCAUUGUGAAUUUCCAGACCGAAAGUGCCUACUUUCAGUUGGUGCUGCUGAAUUGGACCAUAUGAGAGGAGGCAGCUCCAGCCAGGGCUGCCCCCAAGCCACUCACCCUGCCAAACCUCUGGGUCCCGCCGACAUCAUUUCCUCAACGAUGAAGUUCCCCAUGUGUGCCCACUGGCAUGUGCUUAGAAGACCAGGAAUACCCAAUCGGGAAUGAAUUAGUCGGGGAGAAGUAUACAACACAGAGCUUUCUAUUUAACUUGGAACUAUGAUAACCGUGAAAUGGCUCUGGGUAUUUUGUGAAUCAGAUUGCUGUCAAAUCCAUGUAUUUUUUUUAUUUGGAUACACUUCAGUGAUUGUACUGUUCUUUGGUAAAAACUGCUUGAUGUUCAAAAACCUUGAAGCCAUUUAGACCACGUUCUUUCCCUCUUUUCAAAUAGAAGUUUGCAUUUUGUCCACCACAAAGAGAAUGCAAAUGCCAAGAGGUCUGAAUUCACUUUCGAAGUCCAAACCCAGAAACUCUGAUUUUCUUUUCAUCUUGGCUAGACACAUUCCCCAGGGCUCUAGACCUUACAUCAAAUGGGACAGUAUCAUGUCCUAAUGAGGAGUGCAAACUGCAAGGUAGAUUACCUGAAUUCAAAUCCUUUGACUGAAACUUUGAGCAAAUUGCUCCAUUUUUUUUAGUCUUGGUUUACUUCAUCUUCUAUUGGGAUAAUAAGAGUAAAAAUUUCCUUGUGGUGUUGUAUGUGGAGCAUUUAGGAACCUGACACACAAUAUUUAAUUUCUGAGAAUAUUGGGAGAAGUACCAUUUUGGUAAGGCUUCUUUGCAUGGGGUAUUUUUUUAAAAAUAUAAAUGAAUUGAAAUAAUAUUUAAUAAAGCAGUUUUUAAUAAAAAAGACCAAAGCAGUUAUUCAAUGUUCCACAAUGUCAGUUUAAAAGUUAUUUAAAAUAUUGUGAAUAUUAUUUAUGCAACAAUUUCUGUCCAACAUAUUGCAGUAGUAAUACCCUUUCUUUACCUUUUCUUCUUUUUUAUGCUUUAGCCCAAACUAAAGUCAUUCCCAUUUUUAUUAAUCUUAAAUCAAUGUCUUCUCCUAAUUUCCCUUGGUUCCCAUACCCCUGAGUGCCUAUUAAGGGCAUUUAGAUAUUUUUUAGCUUAAUUUUAAGAAUAAUUUUCUCAAGGAAAUGUUCUAAUAGAGGCGAGAGGCUAAAAGAGUGUAGAAACAAGACUCACAAAGAUAAGAAGGCAAGAGGAAAGAGGGAGGAAUAGGCUUACAGAUACCAGAAAGAUGAGCUAGAAAAUUCCUGUAAGUAAGAGGGAGGAGAAAUCAAACUUAUGUAACAUGUGAGUGCUAGUAAACCAUCUGCAAUGUUUUAGUAGAAUUCGUGUAGAUCCUGAUAAUAGAUGAGUUAUGUAACUAUGGAGAGUUUUGUGAGAAACUCAAAGUUAGGACAAAAAAUUUAAAUUGAUUUUAGCAGGAGCACUGCAUUGGGAUGAGGGGCCAGCAGGACAUUGGGUGUUACAUUUACUUCACAGGAAUAUUAAAGUAUGUGAUUCAUAGAAGAUCUUGAGUAAAUAUAUGUCAAGUAAAAUGAAUAAAUGAAUGAUUAAAUCAAAAGCAAACAAAAUACAAUAACCAAAUAUGGGUUAGCAGUAUAAUUAAAUUUAUAUUUGUAUUUCAAGUAUAGACUUGUAUGAAUUGAAUGUUCUGAGAUCUGCACCAUUCUAAUAAAAACUGCAUAUUAAAAUAAUAUGAAACCAAAGCAUACUAUAUUGAAAGGUCAAAAUUCUGGACUUUCUUGAAUGAGAGGGGAAAUAAACUAAAUGUGCCUUUCUUUUCGCUUCUCAGUUUGCGAGGGGAGAUAAGUAGAAAAGUAAACUGGGCCAAUAAAUCAUCAAAACCUAUCCUACCUAUCCCAGGAGAUGGUGAACAGCCCAGAGGGACUGAAGCUACAGAAACGGCAAAGACCAAUUCCAAGGAUGGCUUGGAGGGUCAGCCAUGAGCUCAAAGGCCUAGAGGCCACAUAUCUCAUGGUAGCAAAGCCUUCAUCUAAGGAAUGGUUAGCACUCAGAUUGUUAUUAAACAAGACACAUUUGUAUACUAGAAAGUGGCCUCCGAAGAAAUUUCCCUCAUAGAAAUUCACUCACCUCACCCUUCCAGCCACACAAGCCAAAGCCCUUGGAUGGGAAGAAGCAGCUGAGGUUCCCUUUAAUGGGCCCUUAAUUUUCAGCCACUUCUCUAUUGACAACUUCUCAACUGUAAUUGUUGAAGGCUUUUACUUCCAGGCUAUUGUAGGUGGCAUUCCCCAGAAGGAAAUUUUGAGGUGGAGAUUAAUGUGCAAUACAUUUAUUAGGAAGCACCCUAGAGAUCAAUACCACUGGAAGGAAGAAUUAAAAAACAGAAUUGUGCAGAGAAAGGUUGAGAUGUGAUUUUCAUACCAACAUAGGAAGAUAUAUCAUGCUAAAGACCUCAGCAUGUCCCUUGGGGAGCUCUGGAGCUGAGAUGACACUUUAGAGUUGGGGCAAUGUGGCUGGGCUUUUAUAUCCCUUCAAUGAUUGGGAUUGGAUAGGACCUUAUUUUUAAAGUAGACAUGAUUUUAGGCAAAGCAUGUUUCUUUAGUUGAGACAAUCUUCCAAGAGUGCUCAUGGCAAAGGGCCAUGCUCUGGCAAUACUGCCAGCAGCUGGGGAAAUAAAUCCCUCAUUCCUGAAGGGGAAUCUGGGCAGCACAGUAUAGCAUUUCACAGGUACUUCCUAUGUAUUUGUUGUAGUUUCCUUUUGGUGUCAAAGUAAACAAAAAAAAAACAGUAAAAUAACUUUAUUCCAUAAGGUGACAUUAAAUCAAGCGGAAUAUGAUGUUUAGCUGAAAUCUGCAUUGCAGAAUUCCUAUUGAACAUUUAACUGACAUCGUGUACUCAUUUUAUUUUAUUAGAUGAUUUUUGUCCAAAGUUUUUAUAAGUAUUUAAUGAAAAGGUUGGGAAAAAAUUUUUAAAUAGGCAAUUCUGAUAUAUAAAAUAGGGCAAGAAUUAUUUUAUUAUUUGAUCUGGCAUUAUGGCAGAUAGAUGUUCUUGGAAAACACUUCCAUUUCUGUUUUCACUUAACAAGAUCUUUAUAGUACAAUGUUUUUCAUACCAACAUAGGGAGACACAUUAACAUAUACCACCUUAGAAGUGAACUAGCUUCCAAGUUUGUUGCUAAGCUGAUGCUUGGAACUUUAAGUUGUUAUGUAGAUUUGUGCUUAAAUUGAUUUAAGUUUCACACAGUUGUUGCUCUAUGAUGUAGCACUAUUGUUGCCAACAACAGAUGGUAUUGUUCUUGGAAAAUGCUGAGUGAAUGCUCCCCGUUAGAUGAUGAUUAUAAAUAAAGAUACCUGGAGUUAGUUAAUGUCAUCUGACUAUACAUAUUUAUAUAUAGUGGUAGAGCAGAGAAAUUUAGAGGGGGAAGAGGAGAUGAUCUAUUCUGGGCACCUUGGAACUCUUCCAUGAUGUCACAUGUCACCUGAGCACUGAAAGAUGAGUGGGGGUUAAUGAGGCGAAAGUAGGAACUGAGGAGUAUCCUUGGGAAAAGAAUUUCAUGCAAAUGCAAGCAGGUGCAAAAGCCCCAAAGUAGGAAGCGAAAUACUGUAACUUGGCUGUAAUAAAUACGUUUUAAACAAUCAUGCUAACUCCAUUUUGCCCACCCUGAGCUAUGUAGGGCAUUCUGUUCUAAAAGCUUGUGGUCUGAGACACCUGGCAUCUUUGUAACCAAUUUUCUGAGAAACAGGGCCCACUGGCCUGUACAUCCUGUACUUGCAACCGUGCAACUGCUACCCCACAUCCUGAGUAAAAAACAACUUUAAGUAGAAAUUUUUUGUUAGGCACCCCCCUGCUUCCCCCUAAGCUGCUCCUUCUGCUUCUGUAAUAAUCUGCUUACCACCCCCGACCCUAAACUGUAUAUAAAAAUGUUAACUGCCCUUUGUUCAUGGCCGAGAGGUUUGAGCUCUAGCUGACUCUCGGAUGCCGGCCAAUUAAAGGUGGACUCUCA
This is a long non-coding RNA of Sapajus apella (tufted capuchin), 9384 nucleotides long. RefSeq lists it as uncharacterized. The transcript is spliced from 2 exons. The record is from RefSeq and is a predicted model, not a curated record. NCBI's taxonomy places the organism in Eukaryota, Metazoa, Chordata, Mammalia, Primates, Cebidae.